AGGUGGAGAGAAUUAAUUGGCAAGUUUUUUAAUACAGUAGUAUUAUGAAGUUGUUUUUUAUUUAUUUAUUUAUUUAUUUAUUAUUAUUAUUAUUUGUAAUAUUUUGGUGUUAAGUAUAAAGACAAUUACGUACAGACACUUUUAGAUGCAAACAAAUACACUGAGCACUUUUUUUUUUCUCUAAGUCACAAAUGAUGUCUGUCACUCUCAUUGCUGAACAACUUGAGUCUUUGUUAAGUAAGUUGUGGUUGUUGUCCAGUUUUCAAAAUACCGGACUGCUGUUUGGGGUUUUUAACACCUUGCUAGACCUUUCAGAUAUAAAUUUCGCUGCUCUCGUUCUCUCUUUCCUCAAUAUCUCUCUACGACCUUCGAGUCCAUCCCUCUCGCUCUCUGGAGUAGGCUUCUCAAGCCGCAACCGCUAAUGAUAGCCUAUGGCACACAAAGGUGAAAUUGGUACAGCAGGGGAUGGAGAACGGUUGUACAUGAAAGAUGACCAUAUAUGGACAUUUGCUACUGCUGGCUUGGUAAAUACACUUGUAAAGAAGUUCGUAACUGUUAAAGUAAAGAAGGGGAACAAAGAUUUAUUAUGUGAUGAUAUGUCGGCACUAGUUUGUCACCUUGCUGGCUCAAGAUGUCAAGAUGAAAGAUUGAUAUUUAAAGGAGCUCAGGCAAGAUGUGAUCUUGUAUAAAGGUGAGUUGGUUGGAGAAGAAUGGGAGGUGAAUGAGGAGGAGUCCAGUGAUGACUCAGAAGAAGAGCAUUGAUUAAUUGUUGAGCCGCAGCUCCAGAUACACCGCGAAAGAGCUACAAGAAGACGAUUUGCACAGUCUCAUGAGAUUAGGACUAAUGAGAGUAAGUCCCAGUGCACCAGCCCCUGAGGUCUAGAAGAAGAGAAAAAGCCUUCCCCCUAGAAGAGGAUGUUGAUUUUUUCGAUGUAAUUUUCUAAACUUUUGAUGGUGGAGAGUCGAUGUAAAUUUAUAAAUAUGAAUCAAAAUUUUG
This is a long non-coding RNA of Amborella trichopoda, 997 nucleotides long. RefSeq lists it as uncharacterized. Lineage: Eukaryota; Viridiplantae; Streptophyta; Magnoliopsida; Amborellales; Amborellaceae. The record is from RefSeq and is a predicted model, not a curated record.